This 251-nucleotide ribosomal RNA is filed under the name uncultured prokaryote. Its description in RNAcentral is "partial 16S rRNA". It matches the Rfam family "Bacterial small subunit ribosomal RNA", at positions 525 to 775 of the family's 1533-position model. The record is from RNAcentral.
ACGGAGGGAGCUAGCGUUGUUCGGAAUUACUGGGCGUAAAGCGCGCGUAGGCGGCUAUUUAAGUCAGGGGUGAAAUCCCGGGGAUCAACCCCGGAACUGCCUUUGAAACUGGAUAGCUAGAAUCUUGGAGAGGUCAGUGGAAUUCCGAGUGUAGAGGUGAAAUUCGUAGAUAUUCGGAAGAACACCAGUGGCGAAGGCGACUGACUGGACAAGUAUUGACGCUGAGGUGCGAAAGCGUGGGGAGCAAACAU